UCGGAGGUAGCUCAGUCGGAAAGAGCAAUCCCACAAUUAGGGAGGUGUCGUGGGUUCGAGUCCCACCCUCCGACA
Molecule: transfer RNA, 75 nt
Filed under: Siphoviridae sp. ctmpG14
Lineage: Duplodnaviria; Heunggongvirae; Uroviricota; Caudoviricetes
Description: tRNA-Ile
Rfam family: tRNA
About the family: Transfer RNA (tRNA) molecules are approximately 80 nucleotides in length. Their secondary structure includes four short double-helical elements and three loops (D, anti-codon, and T loops).
Source: RNAcentral